Molecule: ribosomal RNA, 404 nt
Filed under: uncultured bacterium
Lineage: Bacteria
Description: bacterial SSU rRNA
Rfam family: Bacterial small subunit ribosomal RNA
Source: RNAcentral
UGGGGAAUUUUGGACAAUGGGCGCAAGCCUGAUCCAGCGACGCCGCGUGGAGGACGAAGGCCUUCGGGUUGUAAACUCCUUUUGGAGGGGAAGAAUAAAUUGACGGUACCCUCAGAAAAAGCCACGGCUAACUACGUGCCAGCAGCCGCGGUAAUACGUAGGUGGCGAGCGUUACUCGGAAUUACUAGGCGUAAAGCGUAUGUAGGUGGUUAGAUAAGUCUAUGGUGAAAUUUCCUGGCUUAACUGGGAAGGGACAUAGAUACUAUCUGGCUUGAGUGUGGGAGGGGGAGACGGAAUUCCUGGUGUAGCGGUGAAAUGCGUAGAUAUCAGGAGGAACACCGAUGGCGAAAGCAGUCUCCUGACCCAAUACUGACACUGAGGUACGAAAGCUAGGGUAGCAAACA